UUUCCGUAGGUGAAUCUGCGGAAGGAUCAUUAAUGAGUUGUCAUGGGGUUCGAUGCUGGCAGCCAAUUUUUGGAUGCAUGUGCUUGCCCUAACAAUCAUCUUCCAAACACCUGUGCACAUUUUUGAGGGAGUCUUGAGUUGGUUGCCGCUCUUGGGUGAUUUUCUCACAUUCCCUUAAAUCAUUAUACGCUAUUAACAAUGUUGAACGUGCUCUGUGCCGCAAGGCUAUUAAUAUAAUACAACUUUUAACAACGGAUCUCUUGGCUCUC
This 269-nucleotide unclassified non-coding RNA is filed under the name plant metagenome. RNAcentral describes it as "partial contains small subunit ribosomal RNA, internal transcribed spacer 1, and 5.8S ribosomal RNA". The record is from RNAcentral.